GCAAAAUCUUGACCAGGGUAAUCUAUGAGAUGGAUUUGAAAGGUUGAAAUACAAUGUGGAUGAAGCAAUCUCGGUUGAUAGUUAACCUAAGAUCAUCCUAGAGCAUUCAGGGUCAAAAGAAUGAAUUAUGCGGUAACCAUAUGUAUGGAUUUUGGAUUAUUCUUUUGUGAUAAUUGGAUCUAUCUAAACAUCAAAAAUUAUUGCUAGAUGGUAUCUCGAUUAGUGUAGGAAUUGAUUCCUAUGCUACUGACUUAGUGUUUGAACCUAUGGAGUCACGCACAC
RNAcentral lists this long non-coding RNA (282 nucleotides) under Elaeis guineensis (African oil palm). RNAcentral describes it as "long non-coding RNA (EGUI_LNC056437)". Lineage: Eukaryota; Viridiplantae; Streptophyta; Magnoliopsida; Arecales; Arecaceae. The record is from RNAcentral.